UACGGAAGAUGCGAGCGUUAUCCGGAUUUAUUGGGUUUAAAGGGUGCGUAGGCGGAUCGUUAAGUCAGUGGUCAAAUUGAGGGGCUCAACCCCUUCCCGCCAUUGAAACUGGCGAUCUUGAGUGGAAGAGAAGUAUGCGGAAUGCGUGGUGUAGCGGUGAAAUGCAUAGAUAUCACGCAGAACCCCGAUUGCGAAGGCAGCAUGCCGGCUUCCUACUGACGCUGAAGCACGAAAGCGUGGGGAUCGAACAGG
This 252-nucleotide ribosomal RNA is filed under the name uncultured bacterium. Its description in RNAcentral is "partial 16S ribosomal RNA". It matches the Rfam family "Bacterial small subunit ribosomal RNA", at positions 524 to 776 of the family's 1533-position model. The record is from RNAcentral.